RNAcentral lists this ribosomal RNA (472 nucleotides) under uncultured soil bacterium. RNAcentral's name for it is "bacterial SSU rRNA". It matches the Rfam family "Bacterial small subunit ribosomal RNA", at positions 35 to 523 of the family's 1533-position model. The record is from RNAcentral.
GCUGGCGGCGUGCUUAACACAUGCAAGUCGAGUGCGCGCCUGUAGCAAUACAGGUGGCGCACGGCGCACGGGUGCGUAACACGUGGGUAACCUGCCCUUUAGUGGGGAAUAACCUCGCGAAAGCGAGGCUAAUUCCGCAUAAGAUCCGCAAGGAUGAAAGCCGAAAGGCGCUGAUGGAGGGGCCCGCGCACGAUUAGCUAGUUGGUGAGGUAAUGGCUCACCAAGGCUAUGAUCGUUAGCUGGUCUGAGAGGAUGGCCAGCCACACUGGAACUGAGACACGGUCCAGACUCCUACGGGAGGCAGCAGUGGGGAAUCUUGCACAAUGGGCGAAAGCCUGAUGCAGCGACGCCGCGUGGGGGAUGAAGCUUCUCGGAGUGUAAACCCCUUUCGACCCGGACGAAUACCUCGCAAGAGGGGUGACGGUACGGGUAUAAGAAGCCCCGGCUAACUACGUGCCAGCAGCCGCGGUAA